This 2210-nucleotide long non-coding RNA is filed under the name Olea europaea subsp. europaea. The record is from RNAcentral. Lineage: Eukaryota; Viridiplantae; Streptophyta; Magnoliopsida; Lamiales; Oleaceae.
CUCAUAUAUCCGACCAUUCUCCACCAGAAUUAUGAUUUAUUCUCAAGAAGGCAGAGAAAUAUUUAGAAUGAAAGGUAAGGUGGACGUAUAAUGUGUGUAUUUAUUUGCGGAAUCAGAAUUUAAUAUUGAAUAAUUCAAGAUGUGAAGAUUCAAACCCCAUUUGAGACACAUUAUUAAAAAAAAUGAGAAUGAAAAAUAUAGCCGUUAUGGUUUAUACACGAGAUAAAAAGUCAAAUAUAGUGGCUUGAUGUAAUGAAUAACGGUCAUAUUUUUCAUUUUAAUGAGGAAAUAAUGAGGUUUAAACAGGGCAUCACAUGAAUUGGCAUCAUUAUGUAAUUUCCAUAAAAUAGCAUCAUCUCAGUGUACAAUGUUGAUGACAAAUAUGAUCAAGCAAAAUAACAGGAAACCGCAAUCAAGAUAUGUUUCGAUAAAGAUUUAUGAACUCCCAAGGGAAAAGGAUAUGCACGAUGUAGCUAUAAAUUGAUUAAAACCAUGCAUACUGCCAAUUUUAUAUUAGCAUACAAGAAGAUCAUGGUCAAAUUGUAUUAGAUCAGGCAACGGUUAAUAAAUAAAUUAAGUGGAAGAGUACAUAUGUUUCAUUCGUAAAGCAGUGAAAGACUGUAAAGAAAACAAUUCAAAUGAGUUAAUCUACUAAACAAGAAGAAACUGAUAUACUAUAGUUCAGGCAGGCUGAGUGAUGGACUAGCCAAUCAGCCAGUCUUCUCCAAACCAAUCACAAGCUGAAUGCCCACAAACUAACUAGAUUGGACAAACUAGACGCAGCUCACCAAGAAAUAUCCAUUGAGUUGGAUGUACCACCAUGACUGACCAGAGGUCAAUCUUAAGACUCAAACCGAAACCCUGUUUACUGAUCGGGCUGAUACCGGCAUAGACCAAACCCAACUAAGUUGUUGCCCACAAGAUUUCCAAGACCACAUCCAGCACAAAGCCCAGUAGCUAAAGACCAUUCAAAUUACUGGUUCAUGAAGUCAGAUAGUGGAACCAGGAAUAUCUCUCUAGACUGGAGAUAGUGUGGAUAAGAGCAACUCAUACGCCAAAACACACUCCACCAAAAAGGAAUCUUGCGGCAAGAGAAGAAAACAACCUUCCGCGUAAUUCAUUCUACACUCAUAAAUAGUGGUUGGCUAGCUCACUCCGAAACUCUGCCAAAUAACUUUCCUAGCAUUAUCUCAGAGUACAACAGGUUUGUCCUACAAUGGUCUCAAGGAUUUUCUAAUGCAUUUUCUGGUUAGUAAAUUUUCUACAUCUACCAUAAGAAUCAUGUCUAUUGGUUCCUUAUGUAUCCACAUCAGUAUUUUGAUAAAUGGGGAACCAGGUUAUGAAGCCCUGCAAGCACAAAGAAUAAAAAAGAACAUCGAUGAUAACCGAUGAGUGGUAUAAAGAGGAAAACAUUGGUCAUAAUUAUGGAACCCACACUUAAUUAAUUAGUAUAUCAGGUAAAUUUAUCGAAACCUAGGAAUACCAAGUGGAUAGCCAUCGGAAUCCCUAACCUAUAAAACAUUGUGAGAAAGGGUAUAAAUUUAUAUGGAUAAACAUAAGAUGACUCUAUAAAAGACUUUGUGCUAUAUGAAUGCCAAUAAGUAAGAGCAUCAAACACAUUAAAUGGUCUAUUGUUCUGCUAGCUAAUUUAAUGUGAGAACAAAUCAAUAAAUAAAUAUACAUACUUCAUGUCAGCUAAAUGAUAUUGCAAGUCUAUAUACUUCCAUCCUAUAGUUACAAAAGUUUAAUUAUGAUACUUUCCUUUCCUUUUCUACUAGGGAUUCAAAAACUAUAUGAGUAAGGUACUAAAUUUUUGAGAAUUCGACAGAUUGAAAUUUCCCCUUCCAAUUCUUCUAUCUUCGUCUCUUCUCUUCUUUCUUAAACUCUCUGUUCUGCACCAAACAUCACUAUGGCCAUCUUAUUCUUAUUCUAAAAGAUUCUUGUCCUAAAAUUUGACAAUGCACCAGGAAAUUAAGUUUGGUUCAGCAAAAUAAAUCGGUUACUCAAUCAACAAAACAAGAAUAAUUACCGUCUCUUUUCGCCCAACAAACUAGUUUCGCCAAUCACGAUAUGUGAAGGAUGGAAGGAUAACGAAAUGCAGAGCAAUCGAUUCAGCAGGCAAUAAACCAGGGAGUUUUUUUUCAAAAAACAACUGAGGAGAUUGGUUCCAUUACGACUCCAACAAUUCAAUACUUGUUUGCAAAACCAAA